AUGAAGCAACCAUCAUUUCACUCUUCACUGAAUCCCCUUCUCCCUCAGCGUAUUCAAGAAAGCCAACACUCACAUCUGCCACUGUUCUUCUCUCCCAACGAAGGGAAGGUAAGCGGAUCCGUGAUGUUGGUAUAUUUUCGUUUAGAAAAAAAAGAACUUUUGCAAAGCAGUAACCGAUCCUCACUCUCUUUUUUUGUUUCAUUGCCAUUGCAAUUGUGUUUUCCUUUCAGUGAUCUCCUAGUAUUCGUCAGUUUCAUGACAGACCAAGGAGAACUAGGCAAAGAUCUGCCGAUGUUGGACCAGACGCGGGAGGAUGAUCCCCACGAGACAGAGAGCUCUUAG
RNAcentral lists this ribosomal RNA (342 nucleotides) under Triticum aestivum (bread wheat). RNAcentral describes it as "partial small subunit ribosomal RNA". The record is from RNAcentral. Lineage: Eukaryota; Viridiplantae; Streptophyta; Magnoliopsida; Poales; Poaceae.